RNAcentral lists this unclassified non-coding RNA (331 nucleotides) under soil metagenome. RNAcentral describes it as "partial contains 5.8S ribosomal RNA, internal transcribed spacer 2, and large subunit ribosomal RNA". The stretch from base 1 to 120 matches the Rfam family "5.8S ribosomal RNA", at positions 35 to 154 of the family's 154-position model. The record is from RNAcentral.
GAUGAAGAACGCAGCGAAAUGCGAUAAGUAGUGUGAAUUGCAGAAUUCAGUGAAUCAUCGAAUCUUUGAACGCACAUUGCGCCCUUUGGUAUUCCUUAGGGCAUGCCUGUUCGAGCGUCAUUUAAACCUUCAAGCUAAGCUUGGUGUUGGGUGACUGUCCGCUUCACGGCGGACUCGCCUCAAAAUUAUUGGCGGCCGGUACAUUGGCUUCGAGCGCAGCAGAAACGCGAACUCGGGCCCGUCGUAUUGGCUCCCAGAAGCUAUCUUCACAAUUUUGACCUCGGAUCAGGUAGGGAUACCCGCUGAACUUAAGCAUAUCAAUAGCGGAGGA